This 497-nucleotide ribosomal RNA is filed under the name uncultured bacterium. RNAcentral describes it as "partial 16S ribosomal RNA". It matches the Rfam family "Bacterial small subunit ribosomal RNA", at positions 28 to 507 of the family's 1533-position model. The record is from RNAcentral.
GAUGAACGCUGGCGGCGUGCCUAAUACAUGCGAGUCGAGCGAACAGACGAGGAGCUUGCUCCUCUGACGUUAGCGGCGGACGGGUGAGUAACACGUGGAUAACCUACCUAUAAGACUGGGAUAACUUCGGGAAACCGGAGCUAAUACCGGAUAAUAUAUUGAACCGCAUGGUUCAAUAGUGAAAGACGGUUUUGCUGUCACUUAUAGAUGGAUCCGCGCCGCAUUAGCUAGUUGGUAAGGUAACGGCUUACCAAGGCAACGAUGCGUAGCCGACCUGAGAGGGUGAUCGCCCACACUGGAACUGAGACACGGUCCAGACUCCUACGGGAGGCAGCAGUAGGGAAUCUUCCGCAAUGGGCGAAAGCCUGACGGAGCAACGCCGCGUGAGUGAUGAAGGUCUUCGGAUCGUAAAACUCUGUUAUUAGGGAAGAACAAAUGUGUAAGUAACUAUGCACGUCUUGACGGUACCUAAUCAGAAAGCCACGGCUAACUACGUG